GGGGCCGUAGCGCAGUGGUAGCGCGUCUCCAUGGCAAGGAGGAGGUCGUGGGUUCGAUUCCCACCGGCUCCACCA
This 75-nucleotide transfer RNA is filed under the name Armatimonadota bacterium. RNAcentral's name for it is "tRNA-Ala". It matches the Rfam family "tRNA". From Rfam's summary of the family: Transfer RNA (tRNA) molecules are approximately 80 nucleotides in length. The record is from RNAcentral. Lineage: Bacteria; Bacillati; Armatimonadota.